Molecule: ribosomal RNA, 440 nt
Filed under: uncultured bacterium
Lineage: Bacteria
Description: partial 16S ribosomal RNA
Rfam family: Bacterial small subunit ribosomal RNA
Source: RNAcentral
CCUACGGGAGGCAGCAGUAGGGAAUAUUGCUCAAUGGGGGAAACCCUGAAGCAGCAACGCCGCGUGGAGGAUGAAGGUUUUCGGAUUUUAAACUCCUUUUGUUAGAGAAGAUAAUGACGUUAUCUAACGAAUAAGCACCGGCUAACUCCGUGCCAGCAGCCGCGGUAAUACGGAGGGUGCAAGCGUUACUCGGAAUCACUGGGCGUAAAGAGCGCGUAGACGGGAUAGCAAGUCAGAUGUGAAAUCCUAUGGCUUAACCAUAGAACUGCAUUUGAAACUGUUAUUCUAGAGUAUGGGAGAGGUAGGUGGAAUUCUUGGUGUAGGGGUAAAAUCCGUAGAGAUCAAGAGGAAUACUCAUUGCGAAGGCGACCUGCUAGAACAUAACUGACGCUGAUGCGCGAAAGCGUGGGGAGCAAACAGGAUUAGAUACCCUAGUAGUC